CUUUAAAAGGCUGAUGCUUGCUGGCAAUAAACUCCGCCUUGAUCAGACUCCUGUCUUGGCGUCGUUCCUUUCUCUCUGCCCCAUCUCCACCCCGCUGCUCUUUCAGGUUUGAGGCACUGCUGGACAUUGCUCUGCGUCCCCGGUUCGCGACACAGAGGCCCCGUGGGGUGACUGCUGGGCUGCUGGACCGGCUGCUUCCAAGAGGGCAUGGAUGACUAAACGCACGGCGGUCUCCACGCCCCCUCACCGCCUUAUGGAACCAGGAUGAUGGCUCUUCGGUCCUGAAUGCUGACUCCGUAGCCAAAAUAAUCGCAGGCAGCCACUAGGUUUCCCUGACGAGGACGUGGGAUAUCCCCAACAAUCCUUGCAGCGCGGCCUGCCGGCUCCAUCCCGCGGGGAUCGCCGCCUCCUGGUGGCCAGGCGCGGGAUCGCGGCGGAGAGCCGGGUGCUGGCUGCGCUGUCCCAGGGGCUCCUUCCUGCGCAGGUGUGAGCUCGAAAAGUGCACACGCGUUUCCACACGCAGCCAGGGAAAGCUCUCAGGGUCGAAUGGCGCAGACAGAGGCACCAGGUCACUGUUCACCACGCCAGUGCUCAUCCGACCGCCAGAGGGCGCACGCCGCACACAGGAUAAUGGUGGCCCAGCAGAGGGAGGCAGUGGCCCCCGCGCUCCUGUACUCCGCACACUCAGAAGCCGAGGGCACUUGCUGUGGGCUGGCAUCUCGCUGCCUGCCUUACAGAGCCCUCCGCUGUUUAAGACCUCUUAUCCCCGGCGUUCAGUGGGUGUCACUCACUGUUUAGCAGAGGAAGGCACAUUUGAAAAGCAAGUGAAGCCGGUCUGGUGGCUGAGGCAGGUGAUCCCAAGCUCAGGAGUCCUGCCUAGCCUGGACAACACAGCGAGAGCUAAACUCAAAACAAGCGGAAGUUAAAAAUCAAUUAAAUAUUUUUUUUAAAAAAUGGAGUCCAAAGUUGA
RNAcentral lists this long non-coding RNA (970 nucleotides) under Fukomys damarensis (Damara mole-rat). RNAcentral's name for it is "lncRNA (ENSFDAG00000025104.1)". The record is from RNAcentral. Lineage: Eukaryota; Metazoa; Chordata; Mammalia; Rodentia; Bathyergidae.